RNAcentral lists this ribosomal RNA (678 nucleotides) under uncultured Fluviicola sp. Its description in RNAcentral is "bacterial SSU rRNA". It matches the Rfam family "Bacterial small subunit ribosomal RNA", at positions 99 to 777 of the family's 1533-position model. The record is from RNAcentral. Lineage: Bacteria; Pseudomonadati; Bacteroidota; Flavobacteriia; Flavobacteriales; Crocinitomicaceae.
CGCAUGGGUGCGUAACGCGUAUGCAAUCUACCCUAUACUGAGGGAUAGCCCGGAGAAAUUCGGAUUAAUACCUCAUAGCAUUUAUGAAUCGCAUGGUUUAUAAAUUAAAGGUUACGGUAUAGGAUGAGCAUGCGUCCCAUUAGCUAGAUGGUAAGGUAACGGCUUACCAUGGCGACGAUGGGUAGGGGGCCUGAGAGGGUAGUCCCCCACACUGGUACUGAGACACGGACCAGACUCCUACGGGAGGCAGCAGUGAGGAAUAUUGGUCAAUGGGCGCAAGCCUGAACCAGCCAUGCCGCGUGAAGGAAGAAGGAUCUAUGGUUUGUAAACUUCUUUUAUUUAGGAAUAAACUCUCGGACGUGUCCGAGCCUGAAGGUACUAAAUGAAUAAGCACCGGCUAACUCCGUGCCAGCAGCCGCGGUAAUACGGAGGGUGCAAGCGUUAUCCGGAAUCAUUGGGUUUAAAGGGUCCGCAGGCGGUCUUAUAAGUCAGUGGUGAAAUCUCGUAGCUUAACUAUGAAACUGCCAUUGAUACUGUAGGACUUGAAUUCGGUCGAAGUGGGCGGAAUAUGACAUGUAGCGGUGAAAUGCGUAGAUAUGUCAUAGAACACCGAUAGCGAAGGCAGCUCACUAGGCCUGGAUUGACGCUCAGGGACGAAAGCGUGGGGAGCAAACAGGA